GAAAUGCGAUAAGUAAUGUGAAUUGCAGAAUUCAGUGAAUCAUCGAAUCUUUGAACGCACCUUGCGCUCCUUGGUAUUCCUUGGAGCAUGCCUGUUUGAGUAUCAUGAAAUCUUCAAAGUAAAUCUUUUGUUAACUCAAUUGGUUUCUACUUUGGUAUUGGAGGUCUUUGCAGCUUCACACCUGCUCCUCUUUGUUCAUUAGCUGGAUCUCAGUGUUAUGCUUGGUUCCACUCGGCGGGAUAAGUUAUCUAUCGCUGAGGACACUGUAAAAGGUGGCCAAGGUAAAUGCAGAUGAACCGCUUCUAAUAGUCCAUUGACUUGGACAAUACUUUUAUGAUCUGAUCUCAAAUCAGGUAGGACUACCCGCUGAACUUAAGC
This 378-nucleotide unclassified non-coding RNA is filed under the name plant metagenome. RNAcentral's name for it is "partial contains 5.8S ribosomal RNA, internal transcribed spacer 2, and large subunit ribosomal RNA". The stretch from base 1 to 105 matches the Rfam family "5.8S ribosomal RNA", at positions 50 to 154 of the family's 154-position model. The record is from RNAcentral.